AACGAACGCUGGCGGCAUGCCUAACACAUGCAAGUCGAACGAGACCUUCGGGUCUAGUGGCGCACGGGUGCGUAACGCGUUGGAACCUGCCCUUAGGUUCGGAAUAACUCCCCGAAAGGGGUGCUAAUACCGGAUAAUGUCUUCGGACCAAAGAUUUAUCGCCUUUGGAUGGGCCCGCGUUGGAUUAGCUAGUUGGUAGGGUAAAAGCCUACCAAGGCGACGAUCCAUAGCUGGUCUGAGAGGAUGAUCAGCCACACUGGGACUGAGACACGGCCCAGACUCCUACGGGAGGCAGCAGUGGGGAAUAGUGGAAAAUGGGCGAAAGCCUGAUACAGCAAUGACGCGUGAGUGAUGAAGGCCUUAGGGUUGUAAAGCUCUUUUACCCGGGAUGAUAAUGACAGUACCGGGAGAAUAAGCGCCGGCUAACUCCGUG
RNAcentral lists this ribosomal RNA (433 nucleotides) under uncultured bacterium. RNAcentral describes it as "partial 16S ribosomal RNA". It matches the Rfam family "Bacterial small subunit ribosomal RNA", at positions 29 to 507 of the family's 1533-position model. The record is from RNAcentral.